Molecule: ribosomal RNA, 443 nt
Filed under: uncultured bacterium
Lineage: Bacteria
Description: bacterial SSU rRNA
Rfam family: Bacterial small subunit ribosomal RNA
Source: RNAcentral
AACGCGAAGAACCUUACCUGGGCUCGAAGCGCAGUGGAAUCCGGUGGAAACAUCGGCGCCCCUUAAAAGGCUGCUGCGGAGGUGCUGCAUGGCUGUCGUCAGCUCGUGUCGUGAGAUGUUGGGUUAAGUCCCGCAACGAGCGCAACCCUUAUCGUUAGUUGCCAGCGGGUUAUGCCGGGCACUCUAGCGAAACCGCCCCGGAUAACGGGGAGGAAGGUGGGGAUGACGUCAAGUCCUCAUGGCCUUUAUGUCCAGGGCUACACACGUGCUACAAUGGCCGGUACAAAGCGCUGCAAACCCGCGAGGGGGAGCUAAUCGCAAAAAGCCGGCCUCAGUUCGGAUUGCAGGCUGCAACUCGCCUGCAUGAAGCUGGAAUCGCUAGUAAUGCCGUAUCAGAACGAUGGCGUGAAUACGUUCCCGGGCCUUGUACACACCGUAGAGAC